CCCUACUCCUACGGGAGGCAGCAGUGGGGAAUAUUGCACAAUGGGCGCAAGCCUGAUGCAGCCAUGCCGCGUGUAUGAAGAAGGCCUUCGGGUUGUAAAGUACUUUCAGCGGGGAGGAAGGGAGUAAAGUUAAUACCUUUGCUCAUUGACGUUACCCGCAGAAGAAGCACCGGCUAACUCCGUGCCAGCAGCCGCGGUAAUACGGAGGGUGCAAGCGUUAAUCGGAAUUACUGGGCGUAAAGCGCACGCAGGCGGUUUGUUAAGUCAGAUGUGAAAUCCCCGGGCUCAACCUGGGAACUGCAUCUGAUACUGGCAAGCUUGAGUCUCGUAGAGGGGGGUAGAAUUCCAGGUGUAGCGGUGAAAUGCGUAGAGAUCUGGAGGAAUACCGGUGGCGAAGGCGGCCCCCUGGACGAAGACUGACGCUCAGGUGCGAAAGCGUGGGGAGCAAACAGGAUUAGAUACCCCGGUAGUCCGAAUA
This 478-nucleotide ribosomal RNA is filed under the name Escherichia coli. Its description in RNAcentral is "bacterial SSU rRNA". It matches the Rfam family "Bacterial small subunit ribosomal RNA", at positions 331 to 801 of the family's 1533-position model. The record is from RNAcentral. Lineage: Bacteria; Pseudomonadati; Pseudomonadota; Gammaproteobacteria; Enterobacterales; Enterobacteriaceae.